RNAcentral lists this RNase P RNA (380 nucleotides) under Flavobacteriales bacterium. RNAcentral describes it as "RNase P RNA component class A". It matches the Rfam family "Bacterial RNase P class A". Rfam says of the family: Ribonuclease P (RNase P) is a ubiquitous endoribonuclease, found in archaea, bacteria and eukarya as well as chloroplasts and mitochondria. Its best characterised activity is the generation of mature 5'-ends of tRNAs by cleaving the 5'-leader elements of precursor-tRNAs. Cellular RNase Ps are ribonucleoproteins. The record is from RNAcentral. Lineage: Bacteria; Pseudomonadati; Bacteroidota; Flavobacteriia; Flavobacteriales.
UUGGCAGUCCGUUCUAUCGAUUCGUAAAACCGAAUAGGAAAGUCCGGGCAACACAGGGUACCGUACUUCCUAAUAAGAAGGCAUUUUUUGCUUCGGUAAAAAAUGACAGACAGUGUCACAGAAAACGAAACCGCCUUUUUCGAGAGGUAAGGGUGAAAAAGUGGGGUAAGAGCCCACUCGUUCUGAAGUGAUUCAGAAUUGGGAUAAACCUUACGGGUUGAAAGGUCAAAUAAACCUGGAUCAAAGAGCGUCCCGCUCAAUUGCUUAGGCAAGCCAGAAGGGUAGACCGAUAGAGGUGUAAUGUGAGUUGCAUCCCAGAUCAAUGAUAGAAGCUUGGGCUUGCCCAAGAACAGAACCCGGCUUACAGGACUGCCUUUUUU